This 253-nucleotide ribosomal RNA is filed under the name uncultured bacterium. Its description in RNAcentral is "partial 16S ribosomal RNA". It matches the Rfam family "Bacterial small subunit ribosomal RNA", at positions 524 to 776 of the family's 1533-position model. The record is from RNAcentral.
UACGGGGGGGGUAAGCGUUGUUCGGAAUUACUGGGCGUAAAGGGCUCGUAGGCGGCCAACUUAGUCAGACGUGAAAUCCCUCAGCUUAACUGGGGAACUGCGUCUGAUACUGGAUGGCUUGAGUGCAGGAGAGGAACGCGGAAUUCCAGGUGUAGCGGUGAAAUGCGUAGAUAUCUGGAGGAACACCGGUGGCGAAGGCGGCGUUCUGGACUGCAACUGACACUGAGGAACGAAAGCCAGGGGAGCAAACGGG